AUACGUAGGUGACAAGCGUUAUCCGGAUUUACUGGGCGUAAAGGGCGUGUAGGCGGUCUUGCAAGUCAGAAGUGAAAUUCCUGAGCUCAACUCGGGCGCUGCUUCUGAAACUGCAGGACUUGAGUGCUGGAGGGGAUAGCGGAAUUCCUAGUGGAGCGGUAAAAUGCGCAGAUAUUAGGAAGAACACCGGUGGCGAAGGCGGCUAUCUGGACAGUAACUGACGCUGAGGCGCGAAAGCGUGGGGAGCAAACAGGAUUAGAUACCCUGGUAGUCCACACUGUAAACGAUGAAUGCUAGGUGUAGGGGGUAUCGACCCCUUCUGUGCCGCAGUCAACACAAUAAGCAUUCCGCCUGGGGAGUACGGCCGCAAGAUUGAAACUUAAAGGAAUUGACGGGG
RNAcentral lists this ribosomal RNA (397 nucleotides) under uncultured bacterium. RNAcentral describes it as "partial 16S ribosomal RNA". It matches the Rfam family "Bacterial small subunit ribosomal RNA", at positions 523 to 918 of the family's 1533-position model. The record is from RNAcentral.